AUUGAACGCUGGCGGCAUGCCUUACACAUGCAAGUCGAACGGCAGCACGGGUGCUUGCACCGGGUGGCGAGUGGCGAACGGGUGAGUAAUACAUCGGAACAUGUCCUGUAGUGGGGGAUAGCCCGGCGAAAGCCGGAUUAAUACCGCAUACGAUCUACGGAUGAAAGCGGGGGACCUUCGGGCCUCGCGCUAUAGGGUUGGCCGAUGGCUGAUUAGCUAGUUGGUGGGGUAAAGGCCUACCAAGGCGACGAUCAGUAGCUGGUCUGAGAGGACGACCAGCCACACUGGGACUGAGACACGGCCCAGACUCCUACGGGAGGCAGCAGUGGGGAAUUUUGGACAAUGGGCGAAAGCCUGAUCCAGCAAUGCCGCGUGUGUGAAGAAGGCCUUCGGGUUGUAAAGCACUUUUGUCCGGAAAGAAAUCCUUGGCUCUAAUACAGUCGGGGGAUGACGGUACCGGAAGAAUAAGCACCGGCUAACUACGUG
RNAcentral lists this ribosomal RNA (486 nucleotides) under uncultured bacterium. RNAcentral's name for it is "partial 16S ribosomal RNA". It matches the Rfam family "Bacterial small subunit ribosomal RNA", at positions 30 to 507 of the family's 1533-position model. The record is from RNAcentral.